Long non-coding RNA from Athene cunicularia (burrowing owl), 392 nucleotides. RefSeq lists it as uncharacterized. The record is from RefSeq and is a predicted model, not a curated record. The transcript is spliced from 3 exons. Lineage: Eukaryota; Metazoa; Chordata; Aves; Strigiformes; Strigidae.
UGAUAAAUGCAGAAGAAAGACAUCAUGUUUCUCUUCUUGCACCUUUCACCAUUGCCUCUUAUCAGAACUCCAGAGAAUUCAAGAUCUGGAUAACUGUAAGACAUGAUGCAGAGUGGGAGCAAGAGACAAUCUUCACUGUCAGGAUAGCUCUGGCUUGAAUAUGUCUAGAGUAUAUUCCCAGUGUUUGUCACCAAUCCCAGAGGACAGGGGUAGAUUUAUAGGGCAGAACAAGUUAAGGACUGAAAAAGUUGUCUGAGAAGUUACUGGACUGGGAUGAUGGCUUGUUGAAGACAACUGUACUGCAGUAGUGUAACUUGUACUGAUCUGCUUCUCCUUGAAAAAUAAGAAUUAUUCUUAUUGAAAAUAACCAAUUUUCAGUUAUGCUGAGUAGU